RNAcentral lists this ribosomal RNA (426 nucleotides) under uncultured bacterium. RNAcentral describes it as "bacterial SSU rRNA". It matches the Rfam family "Bacterial small subunit ribosomal RNA", at positions 354 to 796 of the family's 1533-position model. The record is from RNAcentral.
GUGAGGAAUUUUCCGCAAUGGGCGAAAGCCUGACGGAGCAAUGCCGCGUGAAGGAUGAAGGCCUAUGGGUUGUAAACUUCUUUUCUCAGAAAAGAAUUAUGACGGUAUCUAAGGAAUAAGCAUCGGCUAACUCUGUGCCAGCAGCCGCGGUAAGACAGAGGAUGCAAGCGUUAUCCGGAAUGAUUGGGCGUAAAGCGUCUGUAGGUUGUUUAAAAAGUAUUCUGUCAAAGAUUAGGGCUUAACCCUAGAUAGGCAGAAUAAACUUUUAAGCUAGAGUUUGGUAGAGGCAGAGGGAAUUCCCGGUGGAGCGGUGAAAUGCGUAGAUAUCGGGAGGAACACCAAAGGCGAAGGCACUCUGCUGGGCCAAUACUAACACUGAGAGACGAAAGCGAGGGGAGCAAAUGGGAUUAGAAACCCGUGUAGUCC